UAACUAUCUAAAUUAUAAGAGUUGCCAUAUUCAGACAAAAGAGAAGAGUUUUUAAUUUGGCUGGUAACCUCGGUUUCUAAACCAAUAAACCAUGUGUAGAGUCCACGAAAAAGAUAAGCCAAGAGGUACCCGAAAACUAGACGUUAAGAUUAAAAUCUCGGAACUAGAGGGUGAAUUACAACGAAUGAAACCACCCCACACCUCCAAAACGCAGAAGUCUUCCACAAAGUGGGAUACGCCUAUGGAGGUGUUCUCGAAAUCCUGACGACGCACCCCUGUGCUCACCGAAAGGACACGGAAG
Long non-coding RNA from Aethina tumida (small hive beetle), 301 nucleotides. RefSeq lists it as uncharacterized. NCBI's taxonomy places the organism in Eukaryota, Metazoa, Arthropoda, Insecta, Coleoptera, Nitidulidae. The record is from RefSeq and is a predicted model, not a curated record. The transcript has 3 exons.